RNAcentral lists this long non-coding RNA (263 nucleotides) under Olea europaea subsp. europaea. Lineage: Eukaryota; Viridiplantae; Streptophyta; Magnoliopsida; Lamiales; Oleaceae. The record is from RNAcentral.
UGUAUGUUGUAGAGUGUUAGAAAGAAAAAAGAUACCAAUUACUUCACUUUCUCCAUAAACCCUAAUUCAAUUAAUCUCUUUUCAUCAAUUUCUAUUUAAAGAGUUCCAUCAGAUCACUUUAAUUUUUCCAAGAAAUAAAGUAAAUAAUUGCUUAAUGGGUUUGCUCAUUGUGGACUUUUUCCUUUAUUGUUGAGUGACUUUAGUAAUGUAGAAGCUUGUAGGGGUCCGAAUUUGCUUCUAGGAUGGAGCAUAUUGAAAUCUCA